CCUACGGGUGGCUGCAGUGGGGAAUAUUGGGCAAUGGGCGCAAGCCUGACCCAGCAACGCCGCGUGCAGGAAGAAGGCUCUCUGGUUGUAAACCUCUUUUUUGGGGGACGUACACAUGACGGUACCCCAGGAAUAAGCCACGGCUAACUACGUGCCAGCAGCCGCGGUAAUACGAAGGUGGCAAGCGUUAUCCGGAUUUAUUGGGUGUAAAGGGAGUGUAGGCGGGAAGGCAAGUCAGAUGUGAAAACUAUGGGCUCAACCCAUAGACUGCAUUUGAAACUGUAUUUCUUGAGUGCUGGAGAGGCAGUCGGAAUGCAGGGUGUAGCGGUGAAAUGCGUAGAGAUACGGAGGAACACCGGUGGCGAAGGCGGAUUGCUGGACAGUAACUGACGCUGAGGCGCGAAAGCGUGGGGAGCAAACAGGAUUAGAUACCCCAGUAGUC
RNAcentral lists this ribosomal RNA (442 nucleotides) under uncultured bacterium. RNAcentral's name for it is "partial 16S ribosomal RNA". It matches the Rfam family "Bacterial small subunit ribosomal RNA", at positions 338 to 795 of the family's 1533-position model. The record is from RNAcentral.